Long non-coding RNA from Oenanthe melanoleuca, 285 nucleotides. RefSeq lists it as uncharacterized. The transcript has 3 exons. The record is from RefSeq and is a predicted model, not a curated record. NCBI's taxonomy places the organism in Eukaryota, Metazoa, Chordata, Aves, Passeriformes, Muscicapidae.
GGGCGGAGGGCCCGGCCGGUUCCACACCGCGGUGCGAGGUUCCCCGUGUGUCCUGCAACAUCCAAAGCUGGAAUUGUUCAUUUCCUCAGCGCCAGUUCCCAGUUCCUGCGAGAAUCCCACAAAACACAGACACGAUUUCUUCCACUUCAAGGCUGAAAACUGACAGGAGCAAUGUCGUGACUUACAGAAAACCGAGGCUCGGUGAAGGAUGACAUCAGCUAAAAAUCAUAAAAACAGAAUCCAGAGCUCGGCCCCGUCAGUACAAAGACAUUUCUGCGAGUGACA